RNAcentral lists this unclassified non-coding RNA (306 nucleotides) under uncultured fungus. RNAcentral's name for it is "partial contains small subunit ribosomal RNA, internal transcribed spacer 1, and 5.8S ribosomal RNA". The stretch from base 1 to 73 matches the Rfam family "Eukaryotic small subunit ribosomal RNA", at positions 1759 to 1831 of the family's 1831-position model. The record is from RNAcentral. Lineage: Eukaryota; Fungi.
GCAAACUUGGUCAUUUAGAGGAAGUAAAAGUCGUAACAAGGUCUCCGUUGGUGAACCAGCGGAGGGAUCAUUAGCGUGUCUCCGUGCCCGCGUACACACCCUGUGAACCCACGGCGUAAGCCGCUGUGUUGCCUCGGCCAGCGGCCCCAGGGCGGGGCCCGCCUAGCCUGGAUGGACCAGGUGCUGGCCGGCGGCGCGGACUUCUGGAUCGCGAUCGGGGGAGCUCUGAGUGAGGGAUUGUCCAAAUUCAAUACCAAAACUUUCAACAACGGAUCUCUUGGUUCUGGCAUCGAUGAAGAACGCAGC